UGAAUGAUAAACUUGUAUUCCUGUAGUA
Molecule: small RNA, 28 nt
Filed under: Bombyx mori (domestic silkworm)
Lineage: Eukaryota; Metazoa; Arthropoda; Insecta; Lepidoptera; Bombycidae
Description: piRNA piR-bmo-1317181
Source: RNAcentral